RNAcentral lists this ribosomal RNA (465 nucleotides) under uncultured bacterium. RNAcentral's name for it is "partial 16S ribosomal RNA". It matches the Rfam family "Bacterial small subunit ribosomal RNA", at positions 338 to 795 of the family's 1533-position model. The record is from RNAcentral.
CCUACGGGAGGCAGCAGUGGGGAAUAUUCCACAAUGGGCGAAAGUCUGACGCAGCGACGCCGCGUGAGGGAUGAAGGUCUUCGGAUCGUAAACCUCUGUUAGCAGGGAAGAACGGUCACUGUGCUAAUCAGCAUUGAAUUGACGGUACCUACAAAGGAAGUACCGGCUAACUCCGUGCCAGCAGCCGCGGUAAUACGGAGGGUGCGAGCGUUAAUCGGAUUUAUUGGGCGUAAAGCGCUCGUGGGCGGUAUGUUAAGUCAAGGGUGAAAUCCCUGGGCUCAACGGGGGAACUGCAUUUGAAACUGGUGAACUGGAGUGUGUGAGAGGAUAGUGGAAUUCCAGGUGUAGGAGUGAAAUCCGUAGAUAUCUGGAAGAACAGCAGUGGCGAAGGCGGCUAUCUGGCCCAUAACUGACGCUGAGGCGCGAAAGCGUGGGUAGCAAACAGGAUUAGAUACCCGGGUAGUC